CUUGGGGAGGGGGGCGUCCCUCAGCCCAGAUUGUAAGAGGGUGCAGGUCAGGCCAAGGGAGCCCACCGGUGCAUG
Molecule: microRNA precursor, 75 nt
Filed under: Myotis brandtii (Brandt's bat)
Lineage: Eukaryota; Metazoa; Chordata; Mammalia; Chiroptera; Vespertilionidae
Description: mir-9193 microRNA precursor family
Rfam family: mir-9193 microRNA precursor family
Source: Rfam by way of RNAcentral